AUUGAACGCUGGCGGCAGGCUUAACACAUGCAAGUCGAGCGGGGGAAGGUAGCUUGCUACCGGACCUAGCGGCGGACGGGUGAGUAAUGCUUAGGAAUCUGCCUAUUAGUGGGGGACAACAUCUCGAAAGGGAUGCUAAUACCGCAUACGUCCUACGGGAGAAAGCAGGGGAUCUUCGGACCUUGCGCUAAUAGAUGAGCCUAAGUCGGAUUAGCUAGUUGGUGGGGUAAAGGCCUACCAAGGCGACGAUCUGUAGCGGGUGUGAGAGGAUGAUCCGCCACACUGGGACGGAGACACGGACCAGACUCCUACGGGAGGCAGCAGUGGGAAAUAUGGGACAAUGGGGGAAACCCUGAUCCAGCCAUGCCGCGUGUGUGAAGAAGGCCUUAUGGUUGUAAAGCACUUUAAGCGAGGAGGAGGCUACUCUAGUUAAUACCUAGGGAUAGUGGACGUUACUCGAAGAAUAAACACCGGCUAACUCUGUGCCAGCCGCCGCCGUAA
Molecule: ribosomal RNA, 501 nt
Filed under: uncultured bacterium
Lineage: Bacteria
Description: partial 16S ribosomal RNA
Rfam family: Bacterial small subunit ribosomal RNA
Source: RNAcentral